Pelobates cultripes (western spadefoot toad) is the source of this 120-nucleotide non-coding RNA. The record is from the annotation of a GenBank genome assembly. NCBI's taxonomy places the organism in Eukaryota, Metazoa, Chordata, Amphibia, Anura, Pelobatidae.
CCGCGUGUGUGUCUGUGUGUAUAUAUAUAUAUACACAUAUAUAUAUAUAUGUGUAUAUAUAUAUAUACACACAUAUAUAUAUAUAUAUAUACAUAUAUAUAUUCACAGACACACACACUG